CCCCUCUCAGAAUCGCACACGGAGAGUUUCUAGUACUCUGCCAGUCUCGGCCACAGGAGGGAGAGAGAAGCAGAGGCAUACCCAUUCUGUUCCUAGCUUGGGCAGCGGCUAGCUAGCAGAAGGCAAUCUGCUACAAGU
Tachyglossus aculeatus (Australian echidna) is the source of this 138-nucleotide small nucleolar RNA. Lineage: Eukaryota; Metazoa; Chordata; Mammalia; Monotremata; Tachyglossidae. The record is from RefSeq and is a predicted model, not a curated record.